Molecule: small RNA, 427 nt
Filed under: Histoplasma capsulatum var. duboisii H88
Lineage: Eukaryota; Fungi; Ascomycota; Eurotiomycetes; Onygenales; Ajellomycetaceae
Description: Histoplasma capsulatum H88 hypothetical RNA
Source: RNAcentral
GACCAGGUGAUAGAACACCCAUUUGUAUUCUUACCAGUACUCUAUCGAAAACGCCAACCCAGCAUGAGCUACUUUGAGAACCCCUUGCCUUUGCAUCUUCCCAUAUUUCCAGCCAGAAAGCGUCUCCCUAGUAAGAGGGUAGUUAUUUCAACAUGAACAGCAGGACCCAUGGUAAUCCUAUCUUCGAUCCAGGUACCCGAUACUGAAAUCCAAGAGCUUGGCAAAAAUUUCUACAUAUCAUGUUUCCCUUCGUACUUUGGCAACUUCAACGAACAGACGCAUAAGCCAUUGCAAACCGAAAAGCUUUCAAGUCUCCACCAAAGGAUUUUCCUAUUUGCGGUAGCAGGAGCAGUUGCUUACAUGUGCGCAUGUUCCGUCCGAGAAACUAGCCACCUUGAAGGUGCCUUUACUAAAGCUUCGCACCACG